This 490-nucleotide ribosomal RNA is filed under the name uncultured Kocuria sp. RNAcentral describes it as "bacterial SSU rRNA". It matches the Rfam family "Bacterial small subunit ribosomal RNA", at positions 33 to 507 of the family's 1533-position model. The record is from RNAcentral. Lineage: Bacteria; Bacillati; Actinomycetota; Actinomycetes; Micrococcales; Micrococcaceae.
ACGUUUGAUCCGUGACUGACGACGACGCUGGCGGCGUGCUUAACACAUGCAAGUCGAACGCUGAAGCACCAGCUUGCUGGUGUGGAUGAGUGGCGAACGGGUGAGUAAUACGUGAGUAACCUGCCCUUGACUCUGGGAUAAGCCCGGGAAACUGGGUCUAAUACUGGAUGCUACAUGUCACCGCAUGGUGGUGUGUGGAAAGGGUUUACUGGUCUUGGAUGGGCUCACGGCCUAUCAGCUUGUUGGUGAGGUAAUGGCUCACCAAGGCGACGACGGGUAGCCGGCCUGAGACGGGUGACCGGCCACACUGGGACUGAGACACGGCCCAGACUCCUACGGGAGGCAGCAGUGGGGAAUAUUGCACAAUGGGCGAAAGCCUGAUGCAGCGACGCCGCGUGAGGGAUGACGGCCUUCGGGUUGUAAACCUCUUUCAGCAGGGAAGAAGCCACAAGUGACGGUACCUGCAGAAGAAGCGCCGGCUAACUACGUG